AACGAACGCUGGCGGCAUGCCUAACACAUGCAAGUCGAACGAGACCUUCGGGUCCAGUGGCGCACGGGUGCGUAACGCGUGAGAACCUGCCUUAAGGGUCGGAAUAACUCCCCGAUAGGGUUGCUAAUACCGUAUAAUGUCUUCGGACCAAAGAUUUAUCGGCUCUGGCUGAGCCGGCGUUGGGUCAGCUAGUUGGUAGGGUAGAAGCCUACCACGGCGACGAUCCAUAGCUGGUCGGAGAGGAUGCUCAGCCACGCUGGGACUGAGACACGGCCCAGACUCCUACGGGAGGCAGCGGUGGGGAAUAUUGGACAAUGGGCGAAAGCCUGAUCCAGCAAUGCCGCGUGAGUGAUGAAGGCCUUAGGGUUGUAGAGCUCUUUUGCCCGGGAUGAUAUUGACAGUACCGGGAGAAUAAGCGCCGGCUAACUCCGUG
RNAcentral lists this ribosomal RNA (433 nucleotides) under uncultured bacterium. RNAcentral's name for it is "partial 16S ribosomal RNA". It matches the Rfam family "Bacterial small subunit ribosomal RNA", at positions 29 to 507 of the family's 1533-position model. The record is from RNAcentral.